Bacillus rossius redtenbacheri is the source of this 2671-nucleotide long non-coding RNA. RefSeq lists it as uncharacterized. The record is from RefSeq and is a predicted model, not a curated record. Lineage: Eukaryota; Metazoa; Arthropoda; Insecta; Phasmatodea; Bacillidae. The transcript has 2 exons.
UUUCCUCAAAAUAACCAGUAAGACUCACUUUUAAAUGGUGGCCCGUGAUUGGCCAAAAGGACCGUUUCAGUUACCUAAUUUCUUACCGAAAACGUAAACUCCGAACGCAACAAUUGCGCGGAUAACAAAAUUUCACUUAAAAUUCAAAUACAUAAAUAUUAAAAUUAAUAAUUUACAUAAUAAAAUUACGGCGUUAAUUUUACCGUUUACAGUUUUCAAGUCCAUUAGUCCUUAGAGGGGUAUCAACAAUACCUCGUUCAAAUAGUCCGGUAAAAAUCCAAAGAAUCACUUUUCCAUAGACAUACAUAACCAAAUAUUGCCGUUUCUGAAAAUAAAUGAUAUUAUACAUAGAGCAAACAAAAAUAAAAUAAAUCGUAAAUAAUAAUAAAUAAUUAAACUGUCAAAACAAACAUGUUGCAGUACAGAUUUUGCCGCCCUUGUCAAUUACAUUGAACAGUGCUCUUUGACCUGUUCAAAACGGUGCAAUGUGAUUGGCACUUCUCUUUCUCCGUCGCACAAUACACAACACUCUUCGUUGCCUAGCAACGCGCGCACCAAACGACAAACAAAAAAAACAACUUGAGAGAGACUACCUCUCCUCGAUUCGUUUUUUACCGUUGCGCGCCUGAAAAUCGCGCCUUUUUAAACACUUUUUAUCGGGUCGUCGCUGCUAACAGACCUGCGCGAAGAAGUUCACGGAUUUUGCAGUGCAAAAUCUUCGAAGGCUGGAACUGCUGCUGCUCUCCGACAGCUUCUGCCUUGAGCCGCUCCUGUUGAGAAGGACUCGGGAGGACUUACUUACUGUCACGUCACGGCAAUGGGUCAACGUCCAUCUGCGGUGAUGACUGCAUCCUUGCUGCGACUCCUCCUUCCUGCAGCGGACAGCGGCGUCGAGACGGCGCCUGUCCUCAAAACGACCAACAAACCUGGCCUGGUUCACCACGCGUCGACGGGGUCUGGCGUGGGGCGAUGAUGCUGUACCAGACAGCACGGCAUCUGGCACUGCAGCUGACGUCAUCAACUGCUGAUGUGGCGGCGUCCAGCCGCCCUGCCUCACGACUACGCGCGAGACGGCGUCGUGGCGUCUGCGGUGCUGAUUGCGUGGGGCGAGGUCACCACUUCCCACAAGGAAGCACUCGUCUAUUCCCAUCACUGUUAGGUACACAAUCGUUGCGAACCGCACUACGUCUAGCUCACUCUGGUGUAACCUUCGCACCUGACUUAAGUAUAGGUGUCCGGGUCUUAAUCGAUACCUUAAUCACUAUGUGCGUACUUGUACUCUUGCAAAUACAAGUGUCUGCAGGCAAUACAACUUGUGUACUUGCCGCGGAACACUAUGACGUCACCGUUAAAACAAAAAUAUCUUAAAUUAACCUUAAAAUUCCUAGCUUAACAUAUAACAUUCUCAUUAUUAACAUCAUUGUUAGAAAAAAAAAUAAAUAAAUACUAUUAAUUAUUAAAUCUCAAUUCUUGCAUAACAAUGCCUGGUUAUCAAUAUCCAUUAAAUUCAAUAUUAGUACUUUGCUUGCUACUAACAUAUCACAUUGUUAGUUCGUACUUGAUUAGUAUGCAUCACAGUGCAUUUGCUUGUUUGUGUUCUCAUUUCAUGAGAUUUCAUACAUUUCACCACAACAUUUCAUUAUAGCGUAUCAUUAUUGAAUAUCAAACAUCACAUGUUUUGCUUUUCAUUAUAACAUAUUGAUAGCUAACAUAAUUUAUAUUCAUUACUCAAUGUUUGUAACUUACAUGUUUACAUUUCAUUAUUAAAAAUAUUUGCAUUUAACUAUAGCAUAUUUAGCUUGCAAUUUACAUUUGCAUUUCAUCACACUUGUUAACAUUUCAUCCAAGAAUAUAUAUCAUAUCAUGUACAUACUGACAAUUAAUAGUUCAUUGUUAUGUUUACAUAGUACAUACUAGCAAUUGAUCAUAUAAUAUAACAUUUAUAUAUAACUAUAUAUAUAUAAUAACAUUUACAUAACAUACCAUUAACCUUUCAUUAUGUUUACAAGUUAUACAAUCAAAAUUUCAUAGCGUUUUUACACAUUGUUUACAUUAUCUUCUCCUAUACAGAGAAGUCGUUGGUUUACACAAUUACCAACUUAGUAACUUUUUCAAUUUCAGUCUGCUGUGCUCAGCUCAACAGCUGUAGAGGCUUUAUCUUCCUCCUCUCAUCUUCCAUUACUGUGUUUUCAUCCCGUAGCGGUCUCGCUGGGUUGAAUAAUGUUCACAUUUCAUCUCAUCUUGGUUACUAUCAGUAACACAUGAGUCUUGUAAUCUACUGAGGCUCCUGGCUUCAGUGUAGCUAAGGUUCCUUUUACAAAUCAGCUGUUUCACAAACAUGCUGUAUCAGGAUAGCUUUCAACAUAGGGUAUCACAUGUUCAAUAUCUUUUUCAUUUCUUUUUAAGAAAAUUUUCUUGCUUCUUCAAUUUUAUAACUUCUGUUAGGCGAAGUUGCUUGUGGACACUUGUUUGCCGGAGUAUCUUCACUUCUCGUGACAAAGGGCUUAGAUCCUGAGUUUUUCAGAUCCACAUUCUUCGCUAUUCUUCACAUCAUUCGAAGAAUACUAUUCAAGCAACUAUGACAGUGAUGCGAGUGAAUAGUGUUGAGACGACGUAAUUUUCUCGUAUAGGGGCUUCUCCCAAUAAAUUCUUAAAAAUCAUCGAUUUCAAA